GGAGGUUGUGCCCUUGAGGCGUGGCUUCCGGAGCUAACGCGUUAAAUCGACCGCCUGGGGAGUACGGCCGCAAGGUUAAAACUCAAAUGAAUUGACGGGGGCCCGCACAAGCGGUGGAGCAUGUGGUUUAAUUCGAUGCAACGCGAAGAACCUUACCUACUCUUGACAUCCAGAGAACUUAGCAGAGAUGCUUUGGUGCCUUCGGGAACUCUGAGACAGGUGCUGCAUGGCUGUCGUCAGCUCGUGUUGUGAAAUGUUGGGUUAAGUCCCGCAACGAGCGCAACCCUUAUCCUUUGUUGCCAGCGGUUCGGCCGGGAACUCAAAGGAGACUGCCAGUGAUAAACUGGAGGAAGGUGGGGAUGACGUCAAGUCAUCAUGGCCCUUACGAGUAGGGCUACACACGUGCUACAAUGGCGUAUACAAAGAGAAGCGACCUCGCGAGAGCAAGCGGACCUCAUAAAGUACGUCGUAGUCCGGAUUGGAGUCUGCAACUCGACUCCAUGAAGUCGGAAUCGCUAGUAAUCGUAGAUCAGAAUGCUACGGUGAAUACGUUCCCGGGCCUUGUACACACCGCCCGUCACACCAUGGGAGUGGGUUGCAAAAGAAGUAGGUAGCUUAACCUUCGGGAGGGCGCUUACCACUUUGUGAUUCAUGACUGGGGUGAAGUCGUAACAAGGUAACCGUAGGGGAACCUGCGGUUG
RNAcentral lists this ribosomal RNA (701 nucleotides) under Serratia marcescens. RNAcentral's name for it is "bacterial SSU rRNA". It matches the Rfam family "Bacterial small subunit ribosomal RNA", at positions 819 to 1520 of the family's 1533-position model. Lineage: Bacteria; Pseudomonadati; Pseudomonadota; Gammaproteobacteria; Enterobacterales; Yersiniaceae. The record is from RNAcentral.